AGGUAUCAUGUCUCGACAGGCUGAGGAAAGAGGAGGAGAAGCGGCUGGCGGAGGAGGAGCGCUUGAGGCGUGCAGAGGAGGAGAAGAGGCUUGCGGAGGAGAGGAAGAGAGAAGAGGAGGAGCAGGCUCUUAUAGCAGAGGAGGAGAGACAGCGAAUGGAGCAGGAGGAGCAGCAAAGACAGGCUGAGCUAGAUAAAGAGCGCGAGGAGGCUGAAGCAAAGGCCCAAGAGGAAGCAGAGAGGCAGCGUCAGGAGAGAGCACGCAUUAUGCAACAGAACCAACAGGAGCGCAUGGAGAGAAAGAAGAGAAUUGAAGAAAUUAUGAAGAGAA
Sinocyclocheilus rhinocerous is the source of this 330-nucleotide long non-coding RNA. RefSeq lists it as uncharacterized. The record is from RefSeq and is a predicted model, not a curated record. The transcript is spliced from 3 exons. Lineage: Eukaryota; Metazoa; Chordata; Actinopteri; Cypriniformes; Cyprinidae.